Molecule: long non-coding RNA, 267 nt
Organism: Diceros bicornis minor
Lineage: Eukaryota; Metazoa; Chordata; Mammalia; Perissodactyla; Rhinocerotidae
Exons: 3
Source: RefSeq, a predicted model, not a curated record
UCACCGAGAUGCACUCAGAGCCUAUGAGGGCAUCAGAUCUGGAGGCACACAAUGUCCAACUCUCCCCUCUGGUGAUGCUAAUUUUGAUGCAUUUGUCAAGCAUCAACGUUGGAAUAGGUCAACAAGUACACAGGGUUAUUUUCUCUCUCUCCAAUCUUCCACGAGACUGGUAUUUUGUUUUCAUCAACUAAGAACCUGCAUUUCUACGAAUAUCGAGAGCAAGUAUCUUGCAGAAGUUGCCUGUUUUCUGAUGCAAGUAAGUAAACA